This 2112-nucleotide small RNA is filed under the name Pan troglodytes (chimpanzee). Its description in RNAcentral is "retained intron". The record is from RNAcentral. Lineage: Eukaryota; Metazoa; Chordata; Mammalia; Primates; Hominidae.
UCUUUCUCUGUCUCUCUCUGUCUCUGCCCCAUCUCUGUCUGUCUCUGUCUCUGCCUCUCUCUGUUUCUCUCCAUCUCUCUGUCUCUGGCUCUGGCUCUGCCCAUCUCUGUCUGUCUCUGCCUCUCUCUGUUUCUCCCUAUCUCUCUUAUCGCUUGAACAAUUUAUGCAGCUCCUGCCCUGUGCUAGGUCCUGGGGACUCAAGGCUGAGGAGCAGCAGAAGCUCCCAUCCCUGAGUCUCACACCCUGGCUCCAUGCUAGUCCCUGUGGUCGGGCUGUCUCGAGGGCAGGACUGUGGCCCUGGCAGCCCUGCCAUCCUCAGCACAUCCUGCUGUGCUCUCCUCUGUGUCAUUAGCUGACACUGGGGACUUGCGGGGAGAGCAGAAGUGGAGACGGGUCUAAACCACUGGGCCAGGCAGGGCCAGGACAACAGAAACACUCGCCCCCUAAGAGUAACCGCUCUCUGCCCACAGAAACUCUCCUCCAGGGUCUUCCUGGAUCACAACGCCCUCCCCGACACCCUGAAAGUCACCUAUGACUCCUUCUGCAGCAAUGGAGUGACGCACAGGAACCAGCCCAGAGGUGACUGUGAUGGCGUGCAGAUCAAUGUCCCGAUCACCUUCCAGGUGAAGGUCACGGCCACAGAGUGUAUCCAGGAGCAGUCAUUUGUCAUCCGGGCGCUGGGCUUCACGGACAUAGUGACCGUGCGGGUCCUUCCCCAGUGCGAGUGCCGGUGCCGGGACCAGAGCAGAGACCGCAGCCUCUGCCAUGGCAAGGGCUUCUUGGAGUGCGGCAUCUGCAGGUGUGACACUGGCUACAUUGGGAAAAACUGUGAGUGCCAGACACAGGGCCGGAGCAGCCAGGAGCUGGAAGGAAGCUGCCGGAAGGACAACAACUCCAUCAUCUGCUCAGGGCUGGGGGACUGUGUCUGCGGGCAGUGCCUGUGCCACACCAGCGACGUCCCCGGCAAGCUGAUAUACGGGCAGUACUGCGAGUGUGACACCAUCAACUGUGAGCGCUACAACGGCCAGGUCUGCGGUGGCCCGGGGAGGGGGCUCUGCUUCUGCGGGAAGUGCCGCUGCCACCCGGGCUUUGAGGGCUCAGCGUGCCAGUGCGAGAGGACCACCGAGGGCUGCCUGAACCCGCGGCGUGUUGAGUGCAGUGGCCGUGGCCGGUGCCGCUGCAACGUAUGUGAGUGCCAUUCAGGCUACCAGCUGCCUCUGUGCCAGGAGUGCCCCGGCUGCCCCUCACCCUGUGGCAAGUACAUCUCCUGUGCCGAGUGCCUGAAGUUCGAAAAGGGCCCCUUUGGGAAGAACUGCAGCGCGGCGUGUCCGGGCCUGCAGCUGUCGAACAACCCCGUGAAGGGCAGGACCUGCAAGGAGAGGGACUCAGAGGGCUGCUGGGUGGCCUACACGCUGGAGCAGCAGGACGGGAUGGACCGCUACCUCAUCUAUGUGGAUGAGAGCCGAGAGUGCGUGGCAGGCCCCAACAUCGCUGCCAUUGUCGGGGGCACCGUGGCAGGCAUCGUGCUGAUCGGCAUCCUCCUGCUGGUCAUCUGGAAGGCUCUGAUCCACCUGAGCGACCUCCGGGAGUACAGGCGCUUUGAGAAGGAGAAGCUCAAGUCCCAGUGGAACAAUGAUAAUCCCCUUUUCAAGAGCGCCACCACGACGGUCAUGAACCCUAAGUUUGCUGAGAGUUAGGAGCACUUGGUGAAGACAAGGCCAUCAGGACCCACCAUGUCUGCCCCAUCACGCGGCCGAGACAUGGCUUGCCACAGCUCUUGAGGAUGUCACCAAUUAACCAGAAAUCCAGUUAUUUUCCGCCCUCAAAAUGACAGCCAUGGCCGGCCGGGUGCUUCUGGGGGCUCGUCGGGGGGACAGCCCCACUCUGACUGGCACAGUCUUUGCAUGGAGACUUGAGAAGGGAGGGCUUGAGGUUGGUGAGGUUAGGUGCAUGUUUCCUGUGCAAGUCAGGACAUCAGUCUGAUUAAAGGUGGUGCCAAUUUAUUUACAUUUAAACUUGUCAGGGUAUAAAAUGACAUCCCAUUAAUUAUAUUGUUAAUCAAUCACGUGUAUAGAAAAAAAAUAAAACUUCAAUACAGGCUGUCCAUGGAAA